UAAAGCAAAGAAGAGCGCAGAGUGAAUGCCUUGGCAUUGGGAGCCGAUGAAGGACGUGGUUAACUGCGAUAAGCUGCGGGGAGCUGUAAGCAAGCUUUGAUCCGCAGAUUUCCGAAUGGAGCAAUCCACAUGAAGUAGUUCAUGUAUCCAUACGUGAAUUCAUAGCGUAUGGAGGGGAACCGCCUGAACUGAAACAUCUAAGUAGGGCGAGGAAGAGAAAUCAACCGAGAUUCCGUAAGUAGUGGCGAGCGAACGCGGAAGAGGCCAAACCGAGAGAAGAAAUUCUUUCGGGGUUCGGACUGCAUUUAGUAUUCUUGAUCUUUAGUCGAACAGUCUGGGAAGGCUGACAAGAGAGUGUGAUAGUCACGUAGACGAAAAGGAGAAAGAGCGAGCAGUAUCCAGAGUACCGCGGGGCACGUGAAAUCCCGUGGGAAGAUGGGGGGACCACCCUCCAAGCCUAAAUACUACCCAAUGACCGAUAGCGUAAAGUACUGUGAAGGAACGGUGAAAAGAACCCCGGGAGGGGAGUGAAAAGAACCUGAAACUCUGUGCUUACAAGCACAUAGAGCACGUCAAUGUGUGAUAUGGUACCUUUUGUAGAAUGGUCCGGCGAGUUAUGGUAUGCAGCGUGGUUAAGGACUUCAGGUCUGAAGCCGAAGCGAGAGCGAGUCUGACAAGGGCGAAAAGUUGUAUGCCAUAGACCCGAAACCGGGUGACCUAGCCAUGUCCAGGCUGAAGUGGAGGUAAAACUCCAUGGAGGGCCGAACCGACCUCCGUUGAAAAGGCGGCGGAUGAGAUGUGGCUAGCGGAGAAAUUCCAAUCGAACCCGGAGAUAGCUGGUUCUCCCCGAAAUAGCUUUAGGGCUAGCGUUGUAUUAGAUUACCGGAGGUAAAGCACUGAAUGGGCUAGGGGCUGAGAAGUUACUGAACCCUAUCAAACUAAGAAUGCCGGAUAAUUGAUGUACAGCAGUCAGACUAUGUGAGAUAAGUCUCAUAGUCAAAAGGGAAACAGCCCAGACCCACAGCUAAGGUCCCAAAAUGGAUUUAAGUGGAAAAGGAUGUGGAAUUGCACAGACAACCAGGAUGUUGGCUUAGAAGCAGCCACUCAUUAAAAGAGUGCGUAAUAGCUCACUGGUCGAGUGAUUCUGCGCCGAAAAUUUAACGGGGCUAAACUGUACACCGAAGCUUGGGAUACAUCUAAUGUAUGGUAGGAGAGCGUUGUAUACGGGGUGAAGUCAGAGCGGAAGCGCUGGUGGACUGUAUACAAGUGAGAAUGCCGGAAUGAGUAGCGAGAAUUAUGUGAGAAUCAUAAUGGCCGAAAGUCUAAGGUUUCCUGAGGAAGGUUCGUCCUCUCAGGGUUAGCCGGGAGCUAAGGUGAGGCGGAAACGCGUAGCCGAUGCACAUACGGUAGAAAUUCCGUAGCCUCCGAAGAUUUAAGCACAGGGACACUUUUGAAGGGCUGAGCCGGGCGUUGGUUGCCCCGGUCGAAAGGGACACGAUUGAGUGGAAGUCAGUUUGGAAAGAGGCGAGAAAAGCUGUGUGUAUAUGGAAGGAGCCCGUACCGCAAACCGACACAGGUAGACAGGAAGAAGAUUCUAAGGCCAGCGGGAGAAGGGUUGUUAAGGAACUCGGCAAGUUGACCCCGUAACUUCGGGAGAAGGGGUGCUCAUGAAAGUGAGCCGCAGAGAAUAGGCCCAAGCAACUGUUUAGCAAAAACACAGGUCUGUGCUAAAUCGAAAGAUGACGUAUACGGGCUGACACCUGCCCGGUGCUGGAAGGUUAAGGGGAUGUGUGCAAGCACUGAACCGAAGCCCCAGUAAACGGCGGCCGUAACUAUAACGGUCCUAAGGAAGCGAAAUUCCUUGUCAGGUAAGUU
Molecule: ribosomal RNA, 1875 nt
Filed under: human gut metagenome
Description: bacterial LSU rRNA
Rfam family: Bacterial large subunit ribosomal RNA
Source: RNAcentral